Molecule: unclassified non-coding RNA, 391 nt
Filed under: soil metagenome
Description: partial contains 5.8S ribosomal RNA, internal transcribed spacer 2, and large subunit ribosomal RNA
Rfam family: 5.8S ribosomal RNA (bases 1-122)
Source: RNAcentral
GAUGAAGAACGCAGCGAAAUGCGAUACUUGGUGUGAAUUGCAGAAUCCCGUGAACCAUCGAGUCUUUGAACGCAAGUUGCGCCCGAAGCCAUUAGGCCGAGGGCACGCCUGCCUGGGCGUCACACGUCGUUGCCCCCCCAUCUACUCCUUCGGGAUUGCGGGGGGCGGAUGAUGGCCUCCCGUGCGCCUCGUCGCGCGGUUGGCAUAAAUGCCAAGUCCUCGGCGACGCACGCCACGACAAUCGGUGGUUGCGAAACCUCGGUUGCCCGUCGUGUGCGGUCGUCGCGCAUCGAGGGCUCGAAAAAAUUGCCGGGCUCCGGCUCGGCUUUCAACGCGACCCCAGGUCAGGCGGGUUUACCCGCUGAAUUUAAGCAUAUCAAUAAGCGGAGGA